RNAcentral lists this ribosomal RNA (490 nucleotides) under uncultured bacterium. RNAcentral describes it as "partial 16S ribosomal RNA". It matches the Rfam family "Bacterial small subunit ribosomal RNA", at positions 30 to 507 of the family's 1533-position model. The record is from RNAcentral.
AUUGAACGCUGGCGGCAGGCCUAACACAUGCAAGUCGAACGGUAACAGGAAGCAGCUUGCUGCUUCGCUGACGAGUGGCGGACGGGUGAGUAAUGUCUGGGAAGCUGCCUGAUGGAGGGGGAUAACUACUGGAAACGGUAGCUAAUACCGCAUAAUGUCGCAAGACCAAAGAGGGGGACCUUCGGGCCUCUUGCCAUCGGAUGUGCCCAGAUGGGAUUAGCUUGUUGGUGGGGUAACGGCUCACCAAGGCGACGAUCCCUAGCUGGUCUGAGAGGAUGACAGGCCACACUGGAACUGAGCCACGGUCCAGACUCCUACGGGAGGCAGCAGUGGGGAAUAUUGCACAAUGGGCGCAAGCCUGAUGCAGCCAUGCCGCGUGUAUGAAGAAGGCCUUCGGGUUGUAAAGUACUUUCAGCGGGGAGGAAGGGAGUAAAGUUAAUACCUUUGCUCAUUGACGUUACCCGCAGAAGAAGCACCGGCUAACUCCGUG